GCACCAGGGACAGGUGUGUUUAC
RNAcentral lists this microRNA (23 nucleotides) under Branchiostoma belcheri (Belcher's lancelet). Its description in RNAcentral is "bbe-miR-2060b-3p". Lineage: Eukaryota; Metazoa; Chordata; Leptocardii; Amphioxiformes; Branchiostomatidae. The record is from miRBase by way of RNAcentral.